AGUGCCUGUAAUCCCAGCUACUCAGGAGGCUGAGGCAGGAGAAUCGCUUGAGCCUGGGAGGAGCCAGAGGUUGCAGUGAGCCCAGAUCACACCACUGCACUCCAGCCUGGGCAGCAGAGCGAGACUGUCUCAAUAAACAACAACAAAAAAAAUUACAUUUAAAAAAACUUAGGCUAUGGGGCCCAGCGUGGAGGCUCACACAUGUAAUUCCAACAUUUUGGGAAGCUAAUGCCGGAGAAUCGCUUAAGCCCAGGAGUUCAGGACCAGCUUGAGCAACAGUGAGAUUCCAUCUGUAUAUUAAAAAAAAAAAAAAAAAAAUUAGCCAGGCAUGGUGUUGCUCACCUGUAGUCCCAGCUGCUCAGGAGGCUGAGGUGAGAGGAUCACUUGAGCCUGGGAGUUCGAGGCUGAGGUGAGAGGAUCACUUGAGCCUGGGAGUUGGAGGCUGAAGUGAGCCAUGAGGGCGCCACUACACUCCAGCCUGGGUGACAGAGUGAGAGCCUGUCUUUAAAAAACAUAUAAUAAUAAUAAUAAUUAAUAAUUAAACAAAUAAUAAGGCUUAGACUAAGAGGGAAGGCAGAGCACACUCAGGUGCAUUCGGCCUUCUGGAUGCUACCAGGGAAUGCCAGACCUCCGGGAGAAACAAGAACCCACGUGUUCUCAAGGCGCCCAGCCCAGCCCAACCUGUGGCCCUCCAGAAACUGUCGUGGUCAUCCUCCAUUCACCUGUCUGUUCAUUCAUCAACUCACCCUUCAGAUAGCUGCAGAGGACCUAUGAUCACCAGGAAUCUCCCCAUGAGCAAACUAUGGGGCACUGGGAAGACGGUGGCCACAGUUAGAGGUGGGAGCCGCACAGGCAGAUGGAACCGCAGUGGCCGCAAGCCCUGGAGGAUCUUCGGCCGUCCGUGCUGGCUUGGAAGCCCUCCUGGGUUUCUUUACACGGACUUAGGGCUUUGGGGACUCUGGCUGGGGUGACCUCGACCUGUGCCGAGCCUCCAAAGAUUCCUGUAGGCGCUGCACCCCGAGCGGAGACUGCAGCUCGGCCUCCCUGCGUCUGCACUGCCUCCCCUGCUGCAGGGGUGUCCCCAAGGGCCUGGGCCGUGCUCCUCCUACCGCAGCUCCUGGUCCUGGCGCCUCCUCCAUCCAGAGACACAAGUGGCCCCUACGACUCCAGCACCAGACCUGAUCUCAAGCACCAGGCAAUACUCAUUAAAUCAAAAUGUGCUAGAACCGGAAGGAAUAAAUCUCACUGUGAUGGAUUCCUGGGGUUCCAACAACCCCUCAGCAACCAGUAUAUUAAUUCUAAUAAAAUGUUCUAAAAUUCAGUAAAAUGCAAGGAAUCCCAUUUUCCAGGAAGGCAUAUAAAGGCUCAGGCAUAUGUAAGGCACAGAGGGAGUGACGGCCAACCUGGGAAUUAGACUAAGGUUUCUUUCCUCUCUGUGCCUUGAUAGAGAAUCCACCUCAGUUCCAGAACUUGCAUCAGAAACAGGGUCCUCUUCCCACACCCCACUUCUCGGGGAGGGCUCAAGCCGCAUCUGCCUCUGGAAGCAGAUAUCCGUGACUAUUAUGACUCCUUGGAAGGCAGCCAGGCAUGAGCCUGUGGCUUACAUUCCUUAAUGCUCAAGCACAUUCCUUCGUGUUCAAGUAUACGUGUGGUUGGCUCGAGCACAGAAGCACAGAGCUGAGCAAAAUAUUCAGCGCCUUUUUCAGAGAACCCUGGCUGGUGCUGGUGGAUGUUCCUGCCCCUUCCUCCACCAUGAACAUUUUUAAAAAUUAAGGGAGAAACAGGAAAACUUUGAAGAAUCUUCCAGAUUUGCCUAACGCAGAUGUGCAUGACCUGACAAGAUAGAUGUGCCAUUUGGACCCUUUCAAGAGCAGACAGAAUGGAAGGGAGGCUGGAGUGCAAUGGUGUGAUCUCUGCUCCUGCAACCUGCGCCUCCUGAGUUCAAGCGAUUCUCCUGCCUCAGCCUCCCAAGUUGCUGGGAUUACAGGGGCCCGCCACCACGCCCAGCUAAUUUUUGUUAUUUUCAGUAGAGAUGGGGUUUCAUCAUGUUGGCCAGGCUAGUCUUGAACUCCUGACCUCAGGCGAUCCGCCCGCCUCGGCCUCCCAAAGUGCUGGGAUUACAGGUGUGAGCCACUGCACCUGCCCAAGGACUAAGGUUUUCUAUUUCUUAUUGUGUCAGUUAGGUUGUAUUUUUCUGUGAAUCUGUUCAUUUCACCAAAUUUUCAAGUUUGUUGGCUUAAAGUUUUCGAUAAUAUACUCUUAUUUUGUGGUGAAGUCCCUUUUUUAUUUCUUGUAUUUGUUAUUUGUGCCUUCUUUUCUUUUUUUUUUUUCCUUUUCUUUUUUAUGAGAUAGAGUUUCACUCUUGUCGCCCAAGCUGGAGUGCAAUGGCGCGAUCUCAGCUCACUGAAACCUCUGCCUCCCGGGUUCAAGCGAUUCUCCUGCCUCAGCCUCCUGAGUGGCUGGGAUUAUAGGCACCCAUCACCACGCCCAGCUAAUUUUUUGUAUUUUUAGUAGAAAUGGGGUUUCACCAUGUUAGCCAGGCUGGUGCCAAACUCCUGAUUUCAGGUGAUCCGCCCGCCUCAGCCUCCCAAAGUGCUGGGAUUACAGGCGUGAGCCACCACGCCCAGCCUUUUCCUUUUCUAUUUUCUUUUUCUUUUCACAGAUGCCUUUUGUGAAAACUGUCAAAUUGUUUCCUUUUAAUCAUUCUCUUUAGGGAUUAACCAAUUUUAUUAGUGGUUUCAGUUUUGGCUUUGUUGAUUCUCUCCGUUGUGUGUUUGUUUUUAUACUUAUUAUACAUUGAAAUCAUUUCCUCCUGUCUACUUUAUUAUAUAUUUAAAUCAUUUCCUCCUGUCUAUUUUUGUUGGGUUUCUUUAGUUGUUCUUUUCCUGACAUCUUAAAAUGAAUGUGCUUAGCUCAUUAUAUUUUAAGUCUUUCUUCUUCCCUAAAAUAUGCAAUUAAGGCUAUAAAUUUCCCCCCAAACACUGCAUUAGCUUUACUCCAUAAGUUUUGUUGUAUUUUGUUUUUCAUUACAUAUAGUAUAGUUCAAAGUAAUUUCAAAUUUCCGUUUUUAUUUGUUCUGAAACCCAUGCAUUAUUUAGAAGUAUAUUUUAGAAGCACGUUACUCGAAAGUAUAGUUUUCAAAGGUACAGGGACUUUUUAAUAUUUUUAUUAUCGAUUCUUAAACUAUUUGCAAUAUGUUAGGAUAACAUUAUCUGCUGUAUUUUAAUCCUUUGAAAUGUGUUGAAACUUGCGUUUUGGCCCAGCAGAUCAUCGUAUUUUAAAAUGGAUGAUAUCUUUUUGAAAAUAACAUAUUUUUCACUUGUUGGGUGCACAGUUCUCCAUAUGUUCAUACAACAAGAUUGUUCAUUAUGAUGUCUCAAAUCUUCUACAGUGUUAUUGAUUUAUUGUCUGCCUGUUCCAUUGAUUACUGAAAAAGCUGUGUCAAACAUCCCACUAUGAAUAUGGACUUGUCUGUUUCUCCAUAUAAUUCUGUUCACAUUGCUCUAUGUAUCAUGUAAUUAGGUACAUACAAAUUUAAAAUAAUCUUUUAUUAUUAUAGGGUGACCCUCCUUAAUUCUAGAGACGCUUUUUUUUUUUUUUUUCAUUUU
RNAcentral lists this long non-coding RNA (3608 nucleotides) under Homo sapiens (human). Its description in RNAcentral is "non-protein coding lnc-ADCY9-1:8". The record is from RNAcentral. Lineage: Eukaryota; Metazoa; Chordata; Mammalia; Primates; Hominidae.